UUAUCAAAAACAUGUCCUAUAGAUAUUAUUAUUUUAGGUCUAACCUGCCCAAUGAUUUAUUUAAUGGCUGCAGUAUCUUANCUGUACAAAGGUAGCAUAAUCAUUUGUCUUUUAAUUAAAGGCUCGUAUGAAUGGUUGGACGAAGGAUUAACUUUCUUUACUUAAAUUUUAUGAAUUUAAUUUUUUAGUUAAAAAGCUUAAAUUUAUUUGCAAGACGAGAAGACCCUAUAGAAUUUUAUUUUUUAAUAUAAGUUUUAUUUUUGGUUAUUAUUAAUUUUAUUUAUAUUAAAAAAUUUUGUUGGGGUGACAGUGAAAUUUUAAUAACUUUCAUAUAAUUAUCAUCAUUGAUUUAUGUAUUUUUGAUCCUUUAUUAUGGAUUAUUAGAUUAAAUUACCUUAGGGAUAACAGCGUAAUUCUUUUGGAGAGUUUUAUCGAUNAAGGAGUUUGCNACCUCNAUGUNGGAU
This 464-nucleotide ribosomal RNA is filed under the name Riptortus sp. WCW-2003. RNAcentral describes it as "partial 16S ribosomal RNA". It matches the Rfam family "Bacterial large subunit ribosomal RNA", at positions 1804 to 2537 of the family's 2925-position model. The record is from RNAcentral. Lineage: Eukaryota; Metazoa; Arthropoda; Insecta; Hemiptera; Alydidae.